Aegilops tauschii subsp. strangulata is the source of this 2757-nucleotide long non-coding RNA. RefSeq lists it as uncharacterized. NCBI's taxonomy places the organism in Eukaryota, Viridiplantae, Streptophyta, Magnoliopsida, Poales, Poaceae. The record is from RefSeq and is a predicted model, not a curated record.
UUCCACUCCUCCCGCGGCCGCCUCCCUCCCUCACUCUCUCCUCAUCCGGCGACGGCGGCAGCGGUCACAGAGGAGGGCAGCGGAUCAGCGGCGCCGGCGAUGGCGUCCGUGGCGGCGGUGGACGGCGCGGCGGCAGCGCUCCGUUCGCUGAUGUCGCGCGCGCAGCAGGCGGCGACGCGGUCAGGACGGGCGCCAGAGCCCUCGCACACUGUCGCUGCUCUCCCCGUCAAGGUUUCCCCUCCAACCGGAGCUCCUCCUGAUCCGCCGACUGGCGCUCUUCCCCACCGCGGCGACGCUCGUGCCGCUGCUCUCCGUCGAGCUCGCGUGUGCGGCGCAUCUGAUGGCCAACACAGCCAUCGUCGUUGCCUGCCCUCCUUGACGCCAUGGUGCGGCCUCGCGCUCUUCCUCCCUUCUCCUCUGGCGCCUCCUCCCCGUCGGCGCCCUCUCUGGAGGCGUAGGUCACCGCCUCCCGUGCAUGCCGUCUCUUGCAAGCCCCUCCCCCCCCUCGACCAGCGGCGGCGCCGACCCUGACAAGGAGCCCAUCCUGCCCCUCCUCCAGGAACUAGCAGAUAGUUUGGUGCUCCCGCAAGCAAUUUGGGCUUCUAUCUUGAUGUAAGCAGUCACUAUCCCCUUCUCGGCUUCGAUUCAAACUCACCUGGUGGCUAAGAUUAUUUGGGUUGUCAGCAGUUAAUAACCACUGUUACCUUUAACAAUAGCAGUAAAGGAAAAUCUAAAUGGUUAAUGUAGACACUUGUGUAUGUGGCUUUGCUUCAAACAGAAUAAGGCAAGCAGCAUCGUUAUGACCCCAAAAGGAUAGUUAACUAAUGUGUGAUAUAAAUAAUUUACCUUUGGAUGAUAUGAAGAGAGGGCCACUCUUAAAUAUACGCGGUUAUGAGGUAAUUCGUUGCUAUGUGAUGCAUCGUUUGGUCCUGCUCCAGUGUUGUUUUGCCUUCUUUUACUCGGCUCAUGUUGCGUUUGGCUUGGAGACUACUGAAAUGGAAAUGUGUUGGAGCAAUUAUGUGUUGCAGGUAAAGAAACAAAUUUUCAUUUCUUUUGGCUUGCUAUUAAUUGUCACUUGCAUACACAUGAUAAGGUUGGUCAUAGAUUUGUGCAGCUAGCUAGCAUUGCUAUUAUUAUGUGCUGCUCUAGAAAUAGAUCAAGUGAUACUUUAAUUUUUGUUCAUCUAAUGAUUUUUUUGUUAUUUCCUUUUGAAUGCUUAGCCAUGCCGUGUCUCACUCGUGUGAAACUCAAGAUUUGAUAGUAGCACAUAACUCAUGAUUUGACAAACAGUUAAAUUCCUAUAUUUUAGUAUAUCUUGUUAUCUUUCUUAUUUCUGUUCCUGAACUGAACUUCGCCCUUUUCUACAAAAUUAUAAGAGCAAUGGUGGUUUGGACAAAUGAUUAUGGUUUCUUAUUUUAUUUUCUUGGUGUUAGAUUACUAAUGUAGAGAAAUAAAAUUAUAUGAUUUUACCAUUAUUAUCAGAUGAGGAAGUGAUAGGUUCGGAAAAUGACAAUAGUUACCUAUCUCUCAUCUCUACUGUAUUCAUGUAAAUGCCCAUGUCUUUUUCCAUUAUUAUCAGUUGAUAUGUUCUUCAUUGCACACAAAUCAUUCUUACUAUACUAUCAGAUAUUAUUAGCACAUGCUCUUUUGAGGGAAAUGGGGAUGGCACUAUCUUUCGGUCUUCUGCCCAGAAAUCUUUAGAGUACAUUAUCUUUCAUCUUCCUAAUUAUAAAUUGUUGGAAUUUCUUAUGCUUUCAGUAAUGCAACUUGAUUGUUUUACUGUUGUCUAUUGAGGGAAAUGGGGAUGGCACUAUCUUUCGGUCUUCCUAAUUAGAUAUAAACAACUGCUUACCCACACCGUAUAACUUCGGUUUGCUCCCUCGCUGCCGCGUCACUCUGUUCCAUACACUAAGAAGCGUGAAGUCUGCCGGUUGCCACUCGCGCUGCUGCUCUGCUUGGAGCCGUCGUCAUCGACUGGAGGAGCGCCGAAUCAUCGUCCUCGAGUUCGUGCACUUCAGGAAGAAGACGGCCCGAGGUGAGACGCCAUGCAUUAGCCGUGCAAAGGUAGAGCUUGACAUAUAGGUCAGUGUGUGUGUGCAGCAGCUCCAGAGAGACCAACGUCAAGGUACCCACUGCUCCUGUUGAGGCUAGCCUGCCGUAGUAAAUGAAGCCCAUAGGUGGAGGGAUUUGGGUGAUCUGUAGUCAAAGGAUAAUAUCAAGCAAGAGGACGCACAAGGAGGGUCGCCCCGGAGUAGAGGUAGAGGACGUUGCCAGUUGCAUCUCUCUCUGACGUGAACCCCACCUUGGCAUGGAUGUGACCAGUGUUGAUCCCCAACAUUGGCAAGCAUUUGCGUCCAAGUUGAUCUGGAACAAUUUGAAGGGUUUCCUCGACACAAAAUCUCCAGCCAAGAUGGAAAUGUUCUUCGGCACCAUGACGAACAUCAACGGAGGAACAACCUUUUUAUUAUUUUCUGUUGCCUCUACUGUAUUGUUGCUGUCACAAAGAUUUACCUGGACAUGGAGCCAUCAUGAUGUGUUUAAAAAUGAUUACAUUAUCCUUUUCUAACCUGAUGGUGUUAGAAACAUCUUAGCAUUCAAGCAGGUUUAGUUCAUUGUUUAUUAAUUCCUAUUAUGUAAAAAUAAAUCACUGAUCAUCGCUUGACAGAAAAUAUUUUGAUAUGCAAUCAUGUGCAUGGCCGAAGAACCUGGAUGUUAUUUACAGGUUUUGGAUCAUGGGUGAUUGUUUUGAAUGAAAAA